UACGUAGGGUGCAAGCGUUGUCCGGAAUUAUUGGGCGUAAAGAGCUCGUAGGCGGUUUGUCGCGUCUGCUGUGAAAACCCGAGGCUCAACCUCGGGCCUGCAGUGGGUACGGGCAGACUAGAGUGCGGUAGGGGAGAUUGGAAUUCCUGGUGUAGCGGUGAAAUGCGCAGAUAUCAGGAGGAACACCGGUGGCGAAGGCGGGUCUCUGGGUAGUAACUGACGCUGAGGAACGAAAGCGUGGGUAGCGAACAGG
This 253-nucleotide ribosomal RNA is filed under the name uncultured bacterium. Its description in RNAcentral is "partial 16S ribosomal RNA". It matches the Rfam family "Bacterial small subunit ribosomal RNA", at positions 524 to 776 of the family's 1533-position model. The record is from RNAcentral.